GGAGAACAAGAUUAUACCCUUCAUAGCCGUCGUCCCUGCCGGAGCUCGCCGGAAAUUGCAGAACACAGUCGAGCUUUCCUUCGAUCGAUCACCACCGAAUCGAGAAGAAAGUGUAAUCCAUGGACCGGGUUAGAUAGAAGAGAAGGAGAGGAAGAGAUUGAAGAUGGUCUCGUCGCCAGGGAUGGCCGGAGACGACGGCGUCAUGCGGAGGACACCGGAGGCAGGCGGAGAGGAAGAGGGAAGUCUGGGCUCGGGUCAAACCGAGUGUGGCUUCCUUGACUGGGUCAACCCCCUCUUAACCUUUUUAAGCCUAAACCCACAGCUGAAAACAAAACCCUAGAUCCUAUGGCCCAGAAUAAAAGUCAUACUCUAAUUCUAGACAAUUAACUCCUUUUACCGAACCUUCAAUAUAUCGCAGAAAAAAAAUAGCUCGAGACUCCAAAAAAAAUAAUCCGGAGACACCGACGAACUCGUAUCGACGCGCACUAGGACUUCGGGUCCAUAAAAGAAGAACUUGACAUUUUGAGAACUCGACAAUAAACUCGAGUGUUAAAUUACCAAAUUACCGAGCACGGUUAAAUUCUUCAGUAACUCGUGAAAUACCUAGUAAAUAGGUAAAAUUGGGGCCGGGAUGUUACACCGGUUCUGAGCGUUCACCCGGGAAACCGCCUUCAAAGAAAAAACAAAACUAUUAGUAAAAUAUUUAAAAACGCACAUACUUAAUGACAAAUUCACUAAUUAAUUUAUUUAAAUACCUGUUUACGAGGGUUGUUGAAUUCUGAUGUCAGAAGCCAACGCCACUCGUACUCUCUGUACUGGAACUCAGCAGGGGUAGCAGAACGUGCGUUCCCGUGCGUAGUCCAAUGGGUCCGCAACUCGUUCUUCCACUCCUUGUACCUACAUAUACAACAAAAAUAUUAGAAAUAUUAUUAAUAUCACAUACAAUUUUGUUUUUUCAUUAACUUCCCAACGUACCUUCCCCUAUGCACAAAGUCCGCCCAGCUGCUCUUCAAGGGCUCGGGAACCUCAAACCACACAUGCAUUUAACCGUUUAUUAGUUUAGUUUUUCGAGAAAUCUAAACUAUAAUACAUAAUAUUAUUAAGGCAUUUUGUAAACUCACCGACAUCGCGUUGUGGACCAUGUCCUUAACCUCUUACGGGACCUCGCCCCAGUCUGACCACAACAUGGGGACUCUAUCCCUAAUGAGCGCUCCCACACGGCCGGAGUACGUCCUCGACUUCCCGCCCGAUACUACGUCGCCAUCCCCGUCAGUACCGAUGACAAUCCUCCCUGAGGUACCGACGAUCUUCUCGAGAGCCUUCCCUGUGACGAGGCCUCUCUUCUUUUUUGUCGGCUUCGCUCCGACGAUGCCUAUCACAUGAUAAACCAAAUUGAUUAUUAAAAUCGGAGAAUUAUAAGAAAACAAAUCAUUCAUCUUUCAUUACCUGAGAGCGAGGAGGCGGACGUGACGGAUUCCGUCUCCGAUGAUGAUACCCUCGCAGAAAUAAGAGGCGUAUCAAAAGACAUGAACCGGUACGCCGCUGAUGGAGCCACUGGCGGGGGCAGUGGAUAAAUCGGCGUCCCUGAGUCAUCGACUACAGGUAUGGCCGAUAUCAUCCGCGGAAGGAAUAGGUGAGGCGGCGGCAUCUGUACCCUAGAUGACCCACUAUCCGAAGAAGUAAGACCUGGAGUGGGCGCCCGGUGUAUCUCAGGCAUACGGGAUGCAGACACCUCCGUCUGGGUCUGAGCAAACAACUGCCUCGAGAUAUGAGAGACGCCCCGCUGCCUCAAUGAAGGGCCCAUCUCCGUCUGCAGAAGGCUCGCAUGUCUAGCUGUCAUGAGGCCCUAAAACGACGUCUGAGGGUUGCUAGAGGUUCCCUCAGACGAUACGGACCUUCGGCCCUUCGAACCCUUCGUCGAUCUAAUAUUACCGCUCAUCCUAUUUAAAAUAUAAAUUUGAAUCAAGGCCACAAAAUCAAAAAAUGCAAACUCAUUUUAAAAAUGUAAAAAAUAUAUACACUUCCUAAAUACAAAUUUUCACUUCCUAAAAUUUACACAUAUACACUUCCUAAAUAUACACUUCAUAAAUAAAAAUAUACACUUUCUAACAACACCACAACAUUGCAAUUGACCGGAAAAUCAAAGCAAACACAAAAUACAAAACAAAUAUAUACAUUUCCUAAAUACUAAAUACANN
RNAcentral lists this long non-coding RNA (2198 nucleotides) under Fragaria vesca (wild strawberry). RNAcentral describes it as "long non-coding RNA (FVES_LNC004094)". The record is from RNAcentral. Lineage: Eukaryota; Viridiplantae; Streptophyta; Magnoliopsida; Rosales; Rosaceae.